Molecule: ribosomal RNA, 941 nt
Filed under: Geosporobacter sp. GMCo17
Lineage: Bacteria; Bacillati; Bacillota; Clostridia; Peptostreptococcales; Thermotaleaceae
Description: bacterial SSU rRNA
Rfam family: Bacterial small subunit ribosomal RNA
Source: RNAcentral
GCGAUGCGAUGACGCUGGCGGCGUGCCUAACACAUGCAAGUCGAGCGGGGUUGUGGAGAAGCUUGCUUCGAAACAACCUAGCGGCGGACGGGUGAGUAACGCGUGGGUAACCUGCCCUAUGCAGGGGGAUAACACACCGAAAGGUGUGCUAAUACCCCAUGAUACUUAUUUAUCGCAUGGUAAAUAAGUCAAAGAUUUAUCGGCAUAGGAUGGACCCGCGUCUGAUUAGCUAGUUGGUGGGGUAAAGGCUCACCAAGGCGACGAUCAGUAGCCGACCUGAGAGGGUGAUCGGCCACACUGGAACUGAGACACGGUCCAGACUCCUACGGGAGGCAGCAGUGGGGAAUAUUGCACAAUGGGGGAAACCCUGAUGCAGCAACGCCGCGUGAGCGAUGAAGGCCUUCGGGUCGUAAAGCUCUGUCCUAAGGGAAGAAGAAUGACGGUACCUUAGGAGGAAGCCCCGGCUAACUACGUGCCAGCAGCCGCGGUAAUACGUAGGGGGCGAGCGUUAUCCGGAAUCACUGGGCGUAAAGGGUGCGUAGGCGGCCUAUAAAGUCAGGGGUGAAAGGCUACGGCUUAACCGUAGUAAGCCUUUGAAACUUAUGGGCUUGAGUGCAGGAGAGGAGAGUGGAAUUCCUAGUGUAGCGGUGAAAUGCGUAGAUAUUAGGAGGAACACCAGUGGCGAAGGCGACUCUCUGGACUGUAACUGACGCUGAGGCACGAAAGCGUGGGGAGCGAACAGGAUUAGAUACCCUGGUAGUCCACGCCGUAAACGAUGAGUGCUAUGUGUCGGAGCCGACAGGCUUCGGUGCCGCAGCUAACGCAUUAAGCACUCCGGCCUGGGGGGAGUACGGUCGCAGACUGAAACUCAAAGGUAGUUGACGGGGACCUGCACAGCCAGCCGCAGCCAUGGUGGCUUGUUUCGCAGGCAACCGCCGAGA